GAUGAACGCUGGCGGCGUGCCUAAUACAUGCAAGUCGAGCGAACAGACGAGGAGCUUGCUCCUCUGACGUUAGCGGCGGACGGGUGAGUAACACGUGGAUAACCUACCUAUAAGACUGGGAUAACUUCGGGAAACCGGAGCUAAUACCGGAUAAUAUAUUGAACCGCAUGGUUCAAUAGUGAAAGACGGUUUUGCUGUCACUUAUAGAUGGAUCCGCGCCGCAUUAGCUAGUUGGUAAGGUAACGGCUUACCAAGGCAACGAUGCGUAGCCGACCUGAGAGGGUGAAAGGCCAGACUAAAACAGGGAGACGGUACGGUGUCCUGCGGGAGGCAGAAGUAGGGAAUGGUCAGCAAUGGGCGAAAGCUUGACGAAUAAAAACCGCGUGAGAGAUGAAAGUCUUCGAAUCGUAAAACUCUGUUAGUAGGAAAGAACAAAUAAGAAAGUGAAUAUGCACGUCGUGACGGUAGCUAAUCAGAAAGCCACAGCAAACUACGUA
RNAcentral lists this ribosomal RNA (497 nucleotides) under uncultured bacterium. RNAcentral describes it as "partial 16S ribosomal RNA". It matches the Rfam family "Bacterial small subunit ribosomal RNA", at positions 28 to 507 of the family's 1533-position model. The record is from RNAcentral.